This 301-nucleotide ribosomal RNA is filed under the name uncultured bacterium. RNAcentral describes it as "partial 16S ribosomal RNA". It matches the Rfam family "Bacterial small subunit ribosomal RNA", at positions 509 to 809 of the family's 1533-position model. The record is from RNAcentral.
CAGUCGCCGCGGUAAUACAGAGGGUGCAAGCGUUAAUCGGAAUUACUGGGCGUAAAGCGUGCGCAGGCGGUGUUGUAAGACUGAUGUGAAAUCCCCGGGCUCAACCUGGGAACUGCAUUGGUGACUGCAACGCUGGAGUGCGGCAGAGGGGGAUGGAAUUCCGCGUGUAGCAGUGAAAUGCGUAGAUAUGCGGAGGAACACCGAUGGCGAAGGCAAUCCCCUGGGCCUGCACUGACGCUGAGGUACGAAAGCAUGGGGAGCAAACAGGAUUAGAUACCCGAGUAGUCCCUGUCUCUUAUAA